UACGGAGGGGGCUAGCGUUGUUCGGAAUUACUGGGCGUAAAGCGCACGUAGGCGGCUUUGUAAGUUAGAGGUGAAAGCCCGGGGCUCAACUCCGGAAUUGCCUUUAAAACUGCAUCGCUAGAAUUGUGGAGAGGUGAGUGGAAUUCCGAGUGUAGAGGUGAAAUUCGUAGAUAUUCGGAAGAACACCAGUGGCGAAGGCGGCUCUCUGGUACGUGACUGACGCUGAGACGCGAAAGCGUGGGGAGCGAACAGG
Molecule: ribosomal RNA, 253 nt
Filed under: uncultured bacterium
Lineage: Bacteria
Description: partial 16S ribosomal RNA
Rfam family: Bacterial small subunit ribosomal RNA
Source: RNAcentral